RNAcentral lists this ribosomal RNA (754 nucleotides) under uncultured bacterium. RNAcentral describes it as "bacterial SSU rRNA". It matches the Rfam family "Bacterial small subunit ribosomal RNA", at positions 8 to 773 of the family's 1533-position model. The record is from RNAcentral.
AGGGUUUGAUCCUGGCUCAGAAUGAACGUUGGCGGCGUGGAUUAGGCAUGCAAGUCGAGCGAGAAGUUUACUUCGGUAAAUGGACAGCGGCGAAAGGGACAGUAAUGUGUAGGUACCUACCCCCCGAUCUGGGAUAGCUGCGGGAAACUGCAGGUAAUACCGGAUAAUGUCUUCGGACCAAAGGUGUGAUUCCGUCAGGGGAGGGGCCUGCAUCCUAUUAGCUUGUUGGUGAGGUAAUGGCUCACCAAGGCAACGAUGGGUAGCGGGUGUGAGAGCAUGACCCGCGUCAUUGGGACUGAGACACUGCCCAGACAUCUACGGAUGGCUGCAGUCGAGAAUCUUCGGCAAUGGGCGAAAGCCUGACCGAGCGACGCCGCGUGCGGGAUGAAGGCCCUCGGGUUGUAAACCGCUGUCGUUGGGGAGGAAAUGCAAAAGGGUUAUCCCUUUUGUUUGACCGAUCCAAGGAGGAAGUACGGGCUAAGUUCGUGCCAGCAGCCGCGGUAAGACGAACCGUACGAACGUUAUUCGGAAUUACUGGGCUUAAAGGGUGCGUAGGCUGCACGGAAAGUUGGGUGUGAAAGCCCUCAGCUCAACUGAGGAAUUGCAUCCAAAACUGCCGUGCUUGAGGGAGACAGAGGUGAGCGGAACUCAAGGUGGAGCGGUGAAAUGCGUUGAUAUCUUGAGGAACACCGGUGGCGAAAGCGGCUCACUGGGUCUCUUCUGACGCUGAGGCACGAAAGCUAAGGUAGCAAAC